UCAUUCAUGUCUGAGAAUGAAAAUUGUGGACAGGAUUUGAACAAAGAGUCUGGUGUUCACAAAGAUGCAAUAAAGAAACCCUUAUCAAUCGAUUAAUAGAAUUGUUGCUGGGAAUGAGGAAUUUCUGAAUGAAGAAUUGGAUGCACUCUUUCGUAUAAUCAGCUGGCAAAAUGCAGGGAACUGAUCGUCCAAUGGCAAUGAAGAACCAAUCCAGUGAUGAUUUUGGCCAUACAUUGUAAAUCCCCACGGAGCUUUGCCAUCGUUCUGAUUUUUCGCCAUCUUGGCCCCGUUUGAGAAGAGGGAGUUUAACAGUUCCCUUCAAACAACAAAGUCCAAACUCUGGAGGCUUAUUCUUCUGGCUUUUGUUGGUCCUCUCUUCAUCCCACAUCAUUGCUUGACUUGAGGGCAUACUGCAGUUGGACCCCCGACAUCAUGCUUUGCCAGCUCCAUACCUGGUCAAUAUUAUAGAAGAUUCAGUACAACGGUAAGGUUCGAUUAGAAAUUGAAUCCAUGCUACUUUACAGUUUAAGCAUGCUUAACUUACAUGUAUAUGAGAACUCUUCUUCUGAUUCAUAACCUUCAUGAAUUACCUCAUUUUUGUCACCCACUUUAUGGCCUAAUGUUCAAAACAAAAUUAUGCACAUUAACACGUAAAACAAUAUAUUAAAGAAGAGUCUGACUGUACCAUAUACAAAAGAACAGGCAAAACAUGUUUCCAUCCAUGUAACUUGCAGCAAAGGUUUUUGCUCGUUUAUUUGCAGUCACCGAUUCGUCUUCUGCUGAUGCUGGUAAUAAUUUGGAUUUAAAAGUAUCAACACAUGGUAUCUUGUUGUAUUUAAGACCUAGGUUUGGUAUAAUGGGAUUCAUUUGUUUUACCUUUUCUUUUUUUAGAAUUCGGUGAUCGCCUUAGCAAUUUUUUCUUGUGUGUUCGACAUCGUUGGAUCAUAUAUGCUUUCUGUAUGGCUUUCUUUGUGGCAGCAUGCUUUGUUGUUUUCCUGGUAGUAUCUGUAUUAAAAGCAACAUUCAGAAUUGAGACCAUUUUUGUUUCUAUUAAAGCAUUGAAUAAGCAUUGAAUAGCCAUUUUUGUUUCUAGUGUUUUUUGUCACAGUGAUGCCUGUUGAUUGAAUAACCAUGGAUCUGUAAUAAAUAAAUAAAAACCAUUGUUAGCAGCAUUUGCUAUACGGAUUGCAGCAUCAAUAGCAGGUUGAUUCAUUUUACUGUUUCUCUUUUUCUUCUGGGUUCUGUCUAAUGCAAGAUUUGAUAUGGCUUUGGUAAUGUUUUUAGUUUUUUUUUUUUUGUCAAUCUGAGCACUGUGUUGAAGUCUUCUAGUUAUCAACUGCAUAUGGAAUGGAUCACGGAGCAAAAUAGAAAGCCUUAAUCUCCUAGCAAGUCUUGUGUCUUCCUUACCGAAGAUUGGUAGUUCGGCAGGAAGAACCAUGGCUUUGUGGUGAAGAAAAUAUGGCAGGGAUUUGUUGCAGAAGAAGAACCCUAACGUGUUAAUCUAGAUUUGGUUGUUUACCGCAAUUGGAUAAGUAUGGUAAAAAAAGUUGACUUCGAUUUGGUUUUUUACCGCAAUUGUUUGACGCUGUGAGAUUGCUCACGGCUGUGUACAACACUUAACGGAUGUUAAUAAAGUACAAUUAAGUUUUUGGUGUAAA
Molecule: long non-coding RNA, 1658 nt
Organism: Papaver somniferum (opium poppy)
Lineage: Eukaryota; Viridiplantae; Streptophyta; Magnoliopsida; Ranunculales; Papaveraceae
Exons: 3
Source: RefSeq, a predicted model, not a curated record